RNAcentral lists this ribosomal RNA (263 nucleotides) under uncultured Ascomycota. Its description in RNAcentral is "partial 18S ribosomal RNA". It matches the Rfam family "Eukaryotic small subunit ribosomal RNA", at positions 619 to 888 of the family's 1831-position model. The record is from RNAcentral. Lineage: Eukaryota; Fungi; Ascomycota.
UUAAAAAGCUCGUAGUUGAACCUUGGGCCUGGCUGAUCUGUCCUCCUAACCGAGCGCACGGAUUCGGUCGGGCCUUUCCUUCUGGGGAGCCCGAUGUCCUUCACUGGGCGUCGUGGGGAACCAGGACUUUUACCUUGAAAAAAUUAGAGUGUUCAAAGCAGGCCUUUGCUCGAAUACAUUAGCAUGGAAUAAUAGAACAGGACAGAGGUUCUAUUUUGUUGGUUUCUAGGACCGCUGUAAUGAUUAAUAGGGAUAGUCGGGGG